UACGAAGGGGGCUAGCGUUGCUCGGAAUCACUGGGCGUAAAGGGCGCGUAGGCGGACUCUUAAGUCGGAGGUGAAAGCCCAGGGCUCAACCCUGGAAUUGCCUUCGAUACUGGGAGUCUUGAGUUCGGAAGAGGUUGGUGGAACUGCGAGUGUAGAGGUGAAAUUCGUAGAUAUUCGCAAGAACACCAGUGGCGAAGGCGGCCAACUGGUCCGAUACUGACGCUGAGGCGCGAAAGCGUGGGGAGCAAACAGG
RNAcentral lists this ribosomal RNA (253 nucleotides) under uncultured bacterium. Its description in RNAcentral is "partial 16S ribosomal RNA". It matches the Rfam family "Bacterial small subunit ribosomal RNA", at positions 524 to 776 of the family's 1533-position model. The record is from RNAcentral.